GGCACGGCGUAUGCUAUACAUGCAGUCGAGCGAAUGGAUUGAGAAGCUUGCUCCUCAAGAAGUUAGCGGCGGACGGGUGAGUAACACGUGGGUAACCUGCCCAUAAGACUGGGAUAACUCCGGGAAACCGGGGCUAAUACCGGAUAACAUUUUGAACUGCAUGGUUCGAAAUUGAAAGGCGGCUUCGGCUGUCACUUAUGGAUGGACCCGCGUCGCAUUAGCUAGUUGGUGAGGUAACGGCUCACCAAGGCAACGAUGCGUAGCCGACCUGAGAGGGUGAUCGGCCACACUGGGACUGAGACACGGCCCAGAAUCCUAUGGGGAGGAGCCGUCAGUUAGGCUGUCUUCCGCAAUAGACGACAUUAGUCUGACGGAGCAACGCCGGCGUGAGAUGAUGAAUGGUUUCAGGUCGUAAAGCUCUUGUUCGUUAGGCAAGAGCAAGUGCUAGUCGACUAAGCUGCCACUUUGACGGUACUUACCCAGAAAGCCACGCCUACUUACGUGCCAGCAGCUGCGGUAAUACGUAGUUGCCAAGCGUUAUCGGGAAUUAUUGGCCGUAAAGCGCGCGCAGGUGGUUUCUUAAGUCUGAUGUGAAAGCCUACGGCUCAACCGUGGAGGGUCAUUGGAAACUGGCAGACUUGAGUGCAGAAAGAGGAAAGUGGAAUUGCCAUGUGUAGCGGUGAAAUGCGUAGAGAUAUGGAGGAACACCAGUGGCGAACGCGACUUUCUGGUCUGUAACUGACACUGAGGCGCGCAAAGCGUGGGGAGCAAACAGGAUUAGAUACCCUGGUAGUACACGCCGUAAACGAUGAGUGCUACGUGUUAGAGGGUUUCCGCCCUUUAGUGCUGACGUCUACGCAUCUAGCACUCCGCCUGGGGAGUACCGCCGCACGGGCUGAACCUCAAUGGAAUAGACGGGGGCCCGCACACCCGGUGGAGCAUGUGGUUUAGAUCGACGCAACGCGAGGAACCUUACCAGGUCUCGACAUCCUCUGAAGUGCCUAGAGAUAGCACUUCUCCUCCGGGAGCUGAUUGACAGCUGAUGCAUGAUCGUCGUCAACUCACCCCAAGAGAUCGAUCGAUUGACGAUGACCCACUCAACAAGGGCGUCCCUCAGAUUACAACUAAGUGCUGCCGUCCACGAAAGAAGUAGGGGAGUCGACUCUGCCUAGGGAUGCAACGGAUGGGGAUGACGUCAAAUCAUCAUGCCCCUUAUGACCUGGGCUACACACGUGCUACAAUGGACGGUACAAAGAGCUGCAAGACCGCGAGGUGGAGCUAAUCUCAUAAAACCGUUCUCAGUUCGGAUUGUAGGCUGCAACUCGCCUACAUGAAGCUGGAAUCGCUAGUAAUCGCGGAUCAGCAUGCCGCGGUGAAUACGUUCCCGGGCCUUGUACACACCGCCCGUCACACCACGAGAGUUUGUAACACCCGAAGUCGGUGGGGUAACCUUUUUGGAGCCAGCCGCCUAAGGUGGGACAGAUGAUUGGGGCGAAGUCGUCACAAUGAGACUCCG
RNAcentral lists this ribosomal RNA (1516 nucleotides) under Bacillus thuringiensis. RNAcentral describes it as "bacterial SSU rRNA". It matches the Rfam family "Bacterial small subunit ribosomal RNA". The record is from RNAcentral. Lineage: Bacteria; Bacillati; Bacillota; Bacilli; Caryophanales; Bacillaceae.